Small nuclear RNA from Dasypus novemcinctus (nine-banded armadillo), 107 nucleotides. The record is from Ensembl. Lineage: Eukaryota; Metazoa; Chordata; Mammalia; Cingulata; Dasypodidae.
CUGUUUACUUCAGCAGCACAUAUACUAAAAGUGGAAUGAUACAGAGAAGAUUAGCAUGGCCCCUGCACAAGGAUGACACGCAAAUUCGUGAAGCAAUCCAUAUUAAA